This 87-nucleotide transfer RNA is filed under the name Bacteroidales bacterium. RNAcentral's name for it is "tRNA-Leu". It matches the Rfam family "tRNA". Rfam says of the family: Transfer RNA (tRNA) molecules are approximately 80 nucleotides in length. Their secondary structure includes four short double-helical elements and three loops (D, anti-codon, and T loops). Further hydrogen bonds mediate the characteristic L-shaped molecular structure. tRNAs have two regions of fundamental functional importance: the anti-codon, which is responsible for specific mRNA codon recognition, and the 3' end, to which the tRNAs corresponding amino acid is attached (by aminoacyl-tRNA synthetases). tRNAs cope with the degeneracy of the genetic code in two manners: having more than one tRNA (with a specific anti-codon) for a particular amino acid; and 'wobble' base-pairing, i.e. permitting non-standard base-pairing at the 3rd anti-codon position. Lineage: Bacteria; Pseudomonadati; Bacteroidota; Bacteroidia; Bacteroidales. The record is from RNAcentral.
GCCCGGAUGGUGGAAUCGGUAGACACGAGGGACUUAAAAUCCCUUGACCAUAACACGGUCGUGUGGGUUCAAGUCCCACUUCGGGUA